GAUGAACGCUGGCGGCGUGCCUAAUACAUGCAAGUCGAGCGAACAGACGAGGAGCUUGCUCCUCUGACGUUAGCGGCGGACGGGUGAGUAACACGUGGAUAACCUACCUAUAAGACUGGGAUAACUUCGGGAAACCGGAGCUAAUACCGGAUAAUAUAUUGAACCGCAUGGUUCAAUAGUGAAAGACGGUUUUGCUGUCACUUAUAGAUGGCUCCGCGCCGCAUUACCUAGUUGGUAAUGUAACGGCUUACCAAGGCAACGAUGCGUAGCCGACCUGAGAGGGUGAUCGGCCACACUGGAACUGAGACACGGUCCAGACUCCUACGGGAGGCAGCAGUAGGGAAUCUUCCGCAAUGGGCGAAAGCCUGACGGAGCAACGCCGCGUGAGUGAUGAAGGUCUUCGGAUCGUAAAACUCUGUUAUUAGGGAAGAACAAAUGUGUAAGUAACUAUGCACGUCUUGACGGUACCUAAUCAGAAAGCCACGGCUAACUACGUG
RNAcentral lists this ribosomal RNA (497 nucleotides) under uncultured bacterium. RNAcentral describes it as "partial 16S ribosomal RNA". It matches the Rfam family "Bacterial small subunit ribosomal RNA", at positions 28 to 507 of the family's 1533-position model. The record is from RNAcentral.